UUAGAGUUUGAUCCUGGCUCAGGAUGAACGCUAGCGGCAGGCUUAACACAUGCAAGUCGAGGGGCAGCGAGAUCAGUGCUUGCACUGAUUGUCGGCGACCGGCGCACGGGUGCGUAACGCGUAUGCAACCUACCCAUUACAGGGGGAUAACACCGAGAAAUCGGUACUAAUACCCCAUAACAUCCAGGGAGGCAUCUUCUUGGGUUGAAAACUCCGGUGGUAAUGGAUGGGCAUGCGUUGUAUUAGUUAGUUGGUGGGGUAACGGCUCACCAAGACAACGAUACAUAGGGGGACUGAGAGGUUAACCCCCCACAUUGGUACUGAGACACGGACCAAACUCCUACGGGAGGCAGCAGUGAGGAAUAUUGGUCAAUGGACGCAAGUCUGAACCAGCCAUGCCGCGUGCAGGAAGACGGCUCUAUGAGUUGUAAGCUGCUUUUGUACGAGGGUAAACGCAGAUACGCGUAUCUGUCUGAAAGUAUCGUACGAAUAAGGAUCGGCUAACUCCGUGCCAGCAGCCGCGGUAAUACGGAGGAUUCAAGCGUUAUCCGGAUUUAUUGGGUUUAAAGGGUGCGUAGGCGGUCGGAUAAGUUAGAGGUGAAAUCCCGGGGCUCAACUUCGGAAUUGCCUCUGAUACUGUUCGGCUAGGGAGUAGUUGCGGUAGGCGGAAUGUAUGGUGUAGCGGUGAAAUGCUUAGAGAUCAUACAGAACACCGAUUGCGAAGGCAGCUUACCAAGCUACUUCUGACGUUGAGGCACGAAAGCGUGGGGGAGCAAACAGGAUUAGAUACCCUGGUAGUCCACGCAGUAAACGAUGAUAACUCGUUGUCGGCGAUACAGUGUCGGUGACUAAGCGAAAGCGAUAAGUUAUCCACCUGGGGAGUACGUUCGCAAGAAUGAAACUCAAAGGAAUUGACGGGGGCCCGCACAAGCGGAGGAACAUGUGGUUUAAUUCGAUGAUACGCGAGGAACCUUACCCGGGCUUGAAAGUUAGUGACGGAUCUUGAAAGAGGUCUUCCCUUCGGGGCACGAAACUAGGUGCUGCAUGGUUGUCGUCAGCUCGUGCCGUGAGGUGUCGGGUUAAGUCCCAUAACGAGCGCAACCCCUACCGUUAGUUGCCAGCAGGUCAAGCUGGGCACUCUGACGGGACUGCCGGUGUAAGCCGAGAGGAAGGUGGGGAUGACGUCAAAUCAGCACGGCCCUUACGUCCGGGGCUACACACGUGUUACAAUGGCAGGUACAGAGGGCAGCUACCCAGCGAUGGGAUGCGAAUCUCGAAAGCCUGUCUCAGUUCGGAUUGGAGGCUGAAACCCGCCUCCAUGAAGUUGGAUUCGCUAGUAAUCGCGCAUCAGCCAUGGCGCGGUGAAUACGUUCCCGGGCCUUGCACACACCGCCCGUCA
This 1399-nucleotide ribosomal RNA is filed under the name uncultured bacterium. RNAcentral describes it as "16S ribosomal RNA". It matches the Rfam family "Bacterial small subunit ribosomal RNA". The record is from RNAcentral.